GUCUUUAAUCUCAGUCAUGGGAGGUUAUUUCUGUGGAGUGACGUUGAUAAUGUCACACCUCCCAGAAAUAAAAAGCUGCCUCAGCCACUCAGUAUAUGUGAUGUGUCUCCUUGUAUCAGAAUCAUGACAAUGGCUCAUAAUCUCGUCAGAUUUACCAUCUCAACUCUGUGGCUACAAGUUCACUGCCAGUAUGUGACUCAACACCCUGCGAUCAGCUGGAGUUAUGUGUCCACAUCUGUGGAGAUGAACUGCAGCCACAACAGAGAUGUCACUCAUAACCAGAUGGACUGGUACAAGCAGCGUCCAGGGGAGAGCAUGACCAUUGUUGUCUAUACAACAUCUGGAGGGAAGCCAGUCAAUCAAACCAAAUAUUCAGCCAUCAAAGACAACAUCGAGAGCGGGGCUCUUACUGUGAAAAACCUGCAGCCCGAGGACAGUGCCGUGUAUUUCUGUGCUGUCAGUAAACACAGUGGUGUGAAAAGUAUGAGCUGCUGAACAAAAACUGAUAAGGUCAUUUGGGGUUUUAAUGAAGACGCAGGUUUUGACUUUCAUAUCUUCACAGUAGGUGGUGCUACAACGCCGCAGAUACUACAGUGAAGAGUCUACAGUGAAACGUUACUUGUCCAUCCGUGUUCAUGAUAUCCCUUUCUUUCUUCUCUAGUAUUUGUAGGCAAUGCAUCUGAUCUGAUUUCAACAACUUGUGUUUCUCCGGAGACUUUAACAUAAAUGCUGUAUAUUAUUUGAGACAAAAAUACUACUUUUUUGAUCACAAACCUAAAUAAAGUUUUCGUUUCUCUUUG
Non-coding RNA from Solea senegalensis (Senegalese sole), 800 nucleotides. Lineage: Eukaryota; Metazoa; Chordata; Actinopteri; Pleuronectiformes; Soleidae. The record is from the annotation of a RefSeq genome assembly.